This 85-nucleotide transfer RNA is filed under the name Lentisphaeria bacterium. RNAcentral's name for it is "tRNA-Tyr". It matches the Rfam family "tRNA". Rfam says of the family: Transfer RNA (tRNA) molecules are approximately 80 nucleotides in length. Their secondary structure includes four short double-helical elements and three loops (D, anti-codon, and T loops). Lineage: Bacteria; Pseudomonadati; Lentisphaerota; Lentisphaeria. The record is from RNAcentral. RNAcentral also lists the same sequence under 2 other names.
GGUAGGGUACUCAAGUGGUCAACGAGGGCAGACUGUAAAUCUGCUAGCCAUGCUUUCCUUGGUUCGAAUCCAAGCCCUACCACCA